GGGUUGUGAGGUUAAGCGACUAAGCGUACACGGUGGAUGCCCUGGCAGUCAGAGGCGAUGAAGGACGUGCUAAUCUGCGAUAAGCGUCGGUAAGGUGAUAUGAACCGUUAUAACCGGCGAUUUCCGAAUGGGGAAACCCAGUGUGUUUCGACACACUAUCAUUAACUGAAUCCAUAGGUUAAUGAGGCGAACCGGGGGAACUGAAACAUCUAAGUACCCCGAGGAAAAGAAAUCAACCGAGAUUCCCCAGUAGCGGCGAGCGAACGGGGAGCAGCCCAGAGCCUGAAUCAGUGUGUGUGUUAGUGGAAGCGUCUGGAAAGGCGCGCGAUACAGGGUGACAGCCCCGUACACAAAAAUGCACAUACUGUGAGCUCGAUGAGUAGGGCGGGACACGUGGUAUCCUGUCUGAAUAUGGGGGGACCAUCCUCCAAGGCUAAAUACUCCUGACUGACCGAUAGUGAACCAGUACCGUGAGGGAAAGGCGAAAAGAACCCCGGCGAGGGGAGUGAAAAAGAACCUGAAACCGUGUACGUACAAGCAGUGGGAGCACGCUUCGGCGUGUGACUGCGUACCUUUUGUAUAAUGGGUCAGCGACUUAUAUUCUGUAGCAAGGUUAACCGAAUAGGGGAGCCGAAGGGAAACCGAGUCUUAACUGGGCGUUAAGUUGCAGGGUAUAGACCCGAAACCCGGUGAUCUAGCCAUGGGCAGGUUGAAGGUUGGGUAACACUAACUGGAGGACCGAACCGACUAAUGUUGAAAAAUUAGCGGAUGACUUGUGGCUGGGGGUGAAAGGCCAAUCAAACCGGGAGAUAGCUGGUUCUCCCCGAAAGCUAUUUAGGUAGCGCCUCGUGAAUUCAUCUCCGGGGGUAGAGCACUGUUUCGGCAAGGGGGUCAUCCCGACUUACCAACCCGAUGCAAACUGCGAAUACCGGAGAAUGUUAUCACGGGAGACACACGGCGGGUGCUAACGUCCGUCGUGAAGAGGGAAACAACCCAGACCGCCAGCUAAGGUCCCAAAGUCAUGGUUAAGUGGGAAACGAUGUGGGAAGGCCCAGACAGCCAGGAUGUUGGCUUAGAAGCAGCCAUCAUUUAAAGAAAGCGUAAUAGCUCACUGGUCGAGUCGGCCUGCGCGGAAGAUGUAACGGGGCUAAACCAUGCACCGAAGCUGCGGCAGCGACACUAUGUGUUGUUGGGUAGGGGAGCGUUCUGUAAGCCUGUGAAGGUGUACUGUGAGGUAUGCUGGAGGUAUCAGAAGUGCGAAUGCUGACAUAAGUAACGAUAAAGCGGGUGAAAAGCCCGCUCGCCGGAAGACCAAGGGUUCCUGUCCAACGUUAAUCGGGGCAGGGUGAGUCGACCCCUAAGGCGAGGCCGAAAGGCGUAGUCGAUGGGAAACAGGUUAAUAUUCCUGUACUUGGUGUUACUGCGAAGGGGGGACGGAGAAGGCUAUGUUGGCCGGGCGACGGUUGUCCCGGUUUAAGCGUGUAGGCUGGUUUUCCAGGCAAAUCCGGAAAAUCAAGGCUGAGGCGUGAUGACGAGGCACUACGGUGCUGAAGCAACAAAUGCCCUGCUUCCAGGAAAAGCCUCUAAGCAUCAGGUAACAUCAAAUCGUACCCCAAACCGACACAGGUGGUCAGGUAGAGAAUACCAAGGCGCUUGAGAGAACUCGGGUGAAGGAACUAGGCAAAAUGGUGCCGUAACUUCGGGAGAAGGCACGCUGAUAUGUAGGUGAAGUCCCUCGCGGAUGGAGCUGAAAUCAGUCGAAGAUACCAGCUGGCUGCAACUGUUUAUUAAAAACACAGCACUGUGCAAACACGAAAGUGGACGUAUACGGUGUGACGCCUGCCCGGUGCCGGAAGGUUAAUUGAUGGGGUUAGCGGUAACGCGAAGCUCUUGAUCGAAGCCCCGGUAAACGGCGGCCGUAACUAUAACGGUCCUAAGGUAGCGAAAUUCCUUGUCGGGUAAGUUCCGACCUGCACGAAUGGCGUAAUGAUGGCCAGGCUGUCUCCACCCGAGACUCAGUGAAAUUGAACUCGCUGUGAAGAUGCAGUGUACCCGCGGCAAGACGGAAAGACCCCGUGAACCUUUACUAUAGCUUGACACUGAACAUUGAGCCUUGAUGUGUAGGAUAGGUGGGAGGCUUUGAAGUGUGGACGCCAGUCUGCAUGGAGCCGACCUUGAAAUACCACCCUUUAAUGUUUGAUGUUCUAACGUUGACCCGUAAUCCGGGUUGCGGACAGUGUCUGGUGGGUAGUUUGACUGGGGCGGUCUCCUCCUAAAGAGUAACGGAGGAGCACGAAGGUUGGCUAAUCCUGGUCGGACAUCAGGAGGUUAGUGCAAUGGCAUAAGCCAGCUUGACUGCGAGCGUGACGGCGCGAGCAGGUGCGAAAGCAGGUCAUAGUGAUCCGGUGGUUCUGAAUGGAAGGGCCAUCGCUCAACGGAUAAAAGGUACUCCGGGGAUAACAGGCUGAUACCGCCCAAGAGUUCAUAUCGACGGCGGUGUUUGGCACCUCGAUGUCGGCUCAUCACAUCCUGGGGCUGAAGUAGGUCCCAAGGGUAUGGCUGUUCGCCAUUUAAAGUGGUACGCGAGCUGGGUUUAGAACGUCGUGAGACAGUUCGGUCCCUAUCUGCCGUGGGCGCUGGAGAACUGAGGGGGGCUGCUCCUAGUACGAGAGGACCGGAGUGGACGCAUCACUGGUGUUCGGGUUGUCAUGCCAAUGGCACUGCCCGGUAGCUAAAUGCGGAAGAGAUAAGUGCUGAAAGCAUCUAAGCACGAAACUUGCCCCGAGAUGAGUUCUCCCUGACUCCUUGAGAGUCCUGAAGGAACGUUGAAGACGACGACGUUGAUAGGCCGGGUGUGUAAGCGCAGCGAUGCGUUGAGCUAACCGGUACUAAUGAACCGUGAGGCUUAACCUUACAACGCCGAAGCUGUU
This 2930-nucleotide ribosomal RNA is filed under the name Escherichia coli O145. RNAcentral's name for it is "23S ribosomal RNA". It matches the Rfam family "Bacterial large subunit ribosomal RNA". Lineage: Bacteria; Pseudomonadati; Pseudomonadota; Gammaproteobacteria; Enterobacterales; Enterobacteriaceae. The record is from RNAcentral.